Non-coding RNA from Acipenser ruthenus (sterlet), 161 nucleotides. RefSeq annotates it as small Cajal body-specific RNA 1. The transcript has a single exon. The record is from RefSeq and is a predicted model, not a curated record. Lineage: Eukaryota; Metazoa; Chordata; Actinopteri; Acipenseriformes; Acipenseridae.
CUGCACCAGAUACUAACCUGCCUGUCUGCCCUGCAGUUUCUUUUAAACUGUCCAGUGCUGUGCGAUUGCUGGGUCACUCGGAUGCAAUAUCGUCACUCGCCGUGAGAUUUAAGCUAAGAGUGCAGAGAGGACACCCUGCGUUAUAACUCGGAGGCACAAAC